UCGCCAGACUCCUACGGGAGGCAGCAGUGAGGAAUAUUGGUCAAUGGCCGAGAGGCUGAACCAGCCAAGUCGCGUGAGGGAAGACGGCCCUACGGGUUGUAAACCUCUUUUGUCGGGGAGCAAAGCGAACCACGUGUGGUUCAUUGAGAGUACCCGAAGAAAAAGCAUCGGCUAACUCCGUGCCAGCAGCCGCGGUAAUACGGAGGAUGCGAGCGUUAUCCGGAUUUACUGGGUGUAAAGGGCGUGUAGCCGGGAAGGCAAGUCAGAUGUGAAAUCCGGAGGCUCGACCUCCGAAUUGCAUUUGAAACUGUUUUUCUUGAGUACUGGAGAGGCAGACGGAAUUCCUUGUGUAGCGGUGAAAUGCGUAGAUAUUAGGAGGAACACCGGUGGCGAAGGCGGCUUACUGGACCGUAACUGACGUUGAGGCUCGAAAGCGUGGGGAGCAAACAGGAUUAGAUACCCUGGUAGG
This 469-nucleotide ribosomal RNA is filed under the name uncultured bacterium. Its description in RNAcentral is "bacterial SSU rRNA". It matches the Rfam family "Bacterial small subunit ribosomal RNA", at positions 328 to 794 of the family's 1533-position model. The record is from RNAcentral.